RNAcentral lists this ribosomal RNA (456 nucleotides) under Gunungidia aurantiifasciata. RNAcentral's name for it is "partial large subunit ribosomal RNA". Lineage: Eukaryota; Metazoa; Arthropoda; Insecta; Hemiptera; Cicadellidae. The record is from RNAcentral.
AAGUUCUGCCCUAUGAUUAUUUAAAUGGCUGCAGUAUCUUGACUGUGCAAAGGUAGCAUAAUAAUUAGUCAAUUAAUUGUUGACUUGUAUGAAUGAAUACAUGAGAAGUUAAUUUUAUUAAUAUUAAUUUUUAAAUUUUAUUUUUAAGUAAAAAAGCUUUAAUUAUAUUUUUGGGACGAAAAGACCCUAUAGAACUUUAUUAUAAUUUUAAUAUGUAUUUUUUUAAUAUUUGUUUAUUAAUUAUUAUAUUUUUGUUGGGGUGACAUUUAAAAUUUAACUUUAUUUUUUAAAUUCAUUAAUUUAUGAUUAUUAUGAUCCUUAGUUUAAGAUAAUAAGAUUAAGUUACCUUAGGGAUAACAGCGUAAUUUUAAUGGGGAGUUCAUAUUUAUAUUAAAGUUUGCGACCUCGAUGUUGAAUUAAGAUAAAUAUAGGGGGUAGGUUUUCUAUUUUUAAGUC